AUGGUUCAGACAUAAAAGGUGGCUUCGGCUACCACUUACAGAUGGACCCGCGGCGCAUUAGCUAGUUGGUGAGGUAACGGCUCACCAAGGCGACGAUGCGUAGCCGACCUGAGAGGGUGAUCGGCCACACUGGGACUGAGACACGGCCCAGACUCCUACGGGAGGCAGCAGUAGGGAAUCUUCCGCAAUGGACGAAAGUCUGACGGAGCAACGCCGCGUGAGUGAUGAAGGUUUUCGGAUCGUAAAGCUCUGUUGUUAGGGAAGAACAAGUGCCGUUCAAAUAGGGCGGCACCUUGACGGUACCUAACCAGAAAGCCACGGCUAACUACGUGCCAGCAGCCGCGGUAAUACGUAGGUGGCAAGCGUUGUCCGGAAUUAUUGGGCGUAAAGGGCUCGCAGGCGGUUUCUUAAGUCUGAUGUGAAAGCCCCCGGCUCAACCGGGGAGGGUCAUUGGAAACUGGGGAACUUGAGUGCAGAAGAGGAGAGUGGAAUUCCACGUGUAGCGGUGAAAUGCGUAGAGAUGUGGAGGAACACCAGUGGCGAAGGCGACUCUCUGGUCUGUAACUGACGCUGAGGAGCGAAAGCGUGGGGAGCGAAACAGGAUUAGAUACCCUGGUAGUCCACGCCGUAAACGAUGAGUGCUAAGUGUUAGGGGGUUUCCGCCCCUUAGUGCUGCAGCUAACGCAUUAAGCACUCCGCCUGGGGAGUACGGUCGCAAGACUGAAACUCAAAGGAAUUGACGGGGGCCCGCACAAGCGGUGGAGCAUGUGGUUUAAUUCGAAGCAACGCGAAGAACCUUACCAGGUCUUGACAUCCUCUGACAAUCCUAGAGAUAGGACGUCCCCUUCGGGGGCAGAGUGACAGGUGGUGCAUGGUUGUCGUCAGCUCGUGUCGUGAGAUGUUGGGUUAAGUCCCGCAACGAGCGCAACCCUUGAUCUUAGUUGCCAGCAUUCAGUUGGGCACUCUAAGGUGACUGCCGGUGACAAACCGGAGGAAGGUGGGGAUGACGUCAAAUCAUCAUGCCCCUUAUGACCUGGGCUACACACGUGCUACAAUGGACAGAACAAAGGGCAGCGAAACCGCGAGGUUAAGCCAAUCCCACAAAUCUGUUCUCAGUUCGGAUCGCAGUCUGCAACUCGACUGCGUGAAGCUGGAAUCGCUAGUAAUCGCGGAUCAGCAUGCCGCGGUGA
RNAcentral lists this ribosomal RNA (1190 nucleotides) under uncultured Bacillus sp. RNAcentral describes it as "bacterial SSU rRNA". It matches the Rfam family "Bacterial small subunit ribosomal RNA", at positions 189 to 1365 of the family's 1533-position model. Lineage: Bacteria; Bacillati; Bacillota; Bacilli; Caryophanales; Bacillaceae. The record is from RNAcentral.